AACUCAUUCAAAAAAAAUAAGAGAUAAUGUUUUCUGUUUUUCAGAUGAGAAAACUGAAUAGAAAAGGUUGAGUGACUAGAUGAAGGCCACACCCAAGUAGGAGCAGAACCAGCAUUUGGAAUGGGGCACUCUGGCUUUGGACUCUGCCUUUAACCUGUACUUAGUGCAAUUCUGUGUUUAAUUUGAAUGAACUGGAAAAUAACUUGCUGAGAGGGCUGUUGGCCUGCUGCUGUGCUGCUGAACAGUAUGCAGUCCUUCCGGGAGCAAAGCAGUUACCACGGAAACCAACAGAGCUACCCACAGGAGGUACACGGCUCAUCCCGGAUAGAAGAGUUCAGCCCUCGUCAGGCCCAGAUGUUCCAGAAUUUUGGGGGUGCCGGUGGUGGCAGUGGUGGCAGUGGAGGCAGCAGUGGUGGGGGACGACGAGGAACAGCAGCUGCUGCAGCAAUGGCUAGUGAGACCUCUGGCCAUCAAGGCUACCAGGGCUUCAGGAAAGAGGCUGGAGAUUUUUACUACAUGGCAGGCAACAAAGAUCCUGUGGCGACAGGAACCCCACAGCCUCCUCAGCGAAGGCCUUCUGGGCCAGUGCAGAGCUAUGGACCCCCCCAGGGGAGCAGCUUUGGCAAUCAGUAUGGGAGUGAAGGUCAUGUGGGCCAAUUUCAAGCACAGCACUCUGCCCUUGGUAGUGUGUCUCAUUAUCAGCAGGAUUACACAGGGCCUUUUUCUCCUGGGAGUGCUCAGUACCAACAGCAGGCUUCCAGCCAGCAGCAGCAGCAGCAGCAGCAGCAGGUACAGCAGCUGAGACAACAGCUUUACCAAUCCCAUCAACCGCUGCCACAGGCCACUGGCCAACCAGCCUCCAGCUCAUCCCACCUACAGCCAAUGCAGCGGCCCUCAACUCUACCAUCCUCUGCUGCUGGAUACCAGUUAAGAGUAGGUCAGUUUGGGCAACAUUACCAGUCUUCUGCUUCCUCCUCCUCCUCCUCCUCCUUCCCUUCACCACAGCGUUUCAGCCAGUCUGGGCAGAGCUAUGAUGGCAGCUACAGUGUGAAUGCUGGAUCUCAGUAUGAAGGGCACAACGUAGGUUCUAAUGCACAGGCUUAUGGAACACAAUCAAACUAUAACUAUCAGCCUCAAUCUAUGAAAAAUUUUGAACAGGCAAAGAUUCCACAAGGGGCCCAGCAGGGACAGCAGCAACCACAGCCACCACCGCAGCAGCAGCAGCAACAACCACAGCAGCAGCAACAGCAGCAGCAGCAGCAGCAACAGCAACAGCAACAGCAACAGCAACCACAGCAUCCACCUCAGCAUGUGAUGCAGUACACCAAUGCUGCCACCAAACUGCCCCUACAAAGCCAGGUGGGGCAGUACAACCAGCCUGAGGUUCCCGUGAGGUCCCCUAUGCAGUUCCACCAGAACUUCAGCCCCAUCUCCAACCCUUCUCCAGCUGCCUCUGUUGUCCAGUCUCCGAGCUGUAGCUCCACCCCUUCUCCGCUCAUGCAGAGUGGGGAGAAUCUCCAGUGUGGGCAAGGCAACGUGCCCAUGGGUUCCAGAAACCGAAUUUUACAGUUAAUGCCUCAGCUCAGUCCAACCCCGUCUAUGAUGCCCAGUCCUAAUUCUCAUGCUUCAGGCUUCAAAGGGUUUGGGAUAGAAGGGGUGCCAGAAAAGCGGCUGACGGAUCCCGGGUUGAGUAGUUUGAGUGCCCUGAGUACUCAGGUGGCUAAUCUUCCUAAUACUGUCCAACACAUGUUACUUUCUGAUGCCCUGACACCUCAGAAGAAGACCUCCAAGAGGCCCUCCUCAUCAUCUAAGAAAGCAGAUAGCUGCACAAACUCAGAAGGCUCCUCGCAGCCCGAGGAACAGCUGAAGUCCCCUAUGGCGGAGUCAUUGGAUGGAGGCUGCUCUAGCAGCUCCGAGGAUCAAGGUGAGAGAGUGAGGCAGCUGAGUGGCCAGAGCACCAGUUCCGAUACCACCUACAAGGGUGGAGCCUCAGAGAAAGCUGGCUCUUCACCAGCACAAAGUGCUCAGAAUGAACCCCCCAGACUCAGUGCCAGUCCUGCAGCUAGAGAAGAGGCCACCUCACCAGGAGCCAAGGACACAUCACUGUCAUCUGAGGGGAACCCAAAAGUCAAUGAGAAGACAGUUGGAGUAAUUGUCUCCAGGGAAGCCAUGACAGGUCGGGUAGAAAAGCCUGGUGGACAAGAUAAAGGCUCCCAAGAGGACGAACCUGCAGCCACUCAGAGGCCACCUAGCAACAGUGGGGCAAAGGAAGGCAGUCACACAUCACUUCCACAGCCAGAGCCUCCAGGAGGAGGGAACAAAGGAAACAAGAAUGGUGAUAAUAGCUCCAACCACAAUGGAGAGGGAAAUGGCCAGAGUGGCCACUCUGCAGUGGGUCCCAGUUUCACAGGCAGAACUGAGCCUAGCAAGUCUCCUGGAAGCCUGCGCUAUAGUUACAAAGACAGCUUUGGCUCAGCGGUGCCGCGAAAUGUCAGUGGCUUUCCCCAGUAUGCUACAGGGCAAGAAAAGGGGGAUUUCACUGGCCAUGGGGAACGAAAGGGUAGAAAUGAGAAGUUCCCAAGCCUCCUGCAGGAAGUGCUUCAGGGUUACCACCACCACCCGGACAGGAGGUAUUCCAGGAGUGCUCAGGAGCAUCAGGGGAUGGCUGGUGGCCUAGAAGGAACCACGAGGCCCAACGUCUUAGUCAGUCAGACCAAUGAAUUAGCUAGCAGGGGCCUUCUGAACAAAAGCAUUGGAUCCCUGUUAGAAAACCCCCACUGGGGCCCUUGGGAGAGGAAAUCAAGCAGCACUGCUCCUGAAAUGAAACAGAUCAAUUUGGCUGACUAUCCAAUUCCCAGAAAGUUUGAAAUAGAACCUCCAUCAUCAGCCCAUGAGCCCGGGGGCUCCCUCUCUGAAAGGAGGUCAGUGAUCUGUGAUAUUUCUCCACUAAGACAGAUUGUCAGGGAUCCGGGUGCUCACUCACUGGGACACAUGGGUGCUGACACCAGAAUUGGGAGGAAUGAACGUCUCAACCCAAGUUUAAGUCAGUCAGUCAUUCUUCCAGGUGGAUUGGUAUCCAUGGAAACAAAGCUAAAAUCCCAGAGUGGGCAGAUAAAAGAGGAAGACUUUGAACAAUCCAAAUCCCAAGCUAGUUUCAACAACAAGAAAUCUGGAGACCACUGCCAUCCCGCUAGCAUCAAGCAUGAGUCUUACCGCGGCAAUGCCAGCCCUGGAGCAGCGGCCCAUGAUUCCCUUUCAGACUAUGGCCCACAAGACAGCAGGCCCACACCAAUGCGGCGGGUCCCUGGCAGAGUUGGUAGUCGGGAGGCUAUGAGGGGUCGGUCCCCUUCUCAGUAUCAUGAUUUUGCAGAAAAAUUGAAAAUGUCUCCUGGAAGAAGCAGAGGCCCAGGGGGAGACCCUCAUCACAUGAACCCACACAUGACCUUUUCAGAGAGGGCCAACAGGAGUUUGCAUGCUCCCUUUUCUCCCAACUCAGAAAGCCUGGCCUCUGCUUAUCACACAAACACUCGGGCUCAUGCUUAUGGGGACCCUAACGCAGGUUUGAAUUCCCAGCUCCAUUAUAAGAGACAGAUGUACCAACAGCAGCAAGAGGAAUACAAAGACUGGAGCAGCAGUUCUGCUCAGGGAGUAAUUGCUGCGGCUCAGCACAGGCAAGAGGGGCCAAGGAAGAGCCCACGGCAACAGCAGUUUCUUGACCGAGUACGGAGUCCUCUGAAAAAUGACAAAGACGGUAUGAUGUAUGGGCCACCUGUAGGGACUUACCAUGACCCCAGUGGUCAGGAAGCGGGACGCUGCCUCAUGUCUAGUGACGGCCUGCCUAACAAAGGCAUGGAAUUGAAGCAUGGCUCCCAGAAAUUGCAACAAGAAUCUUGUUGGGAUCUUUCUCGGCAAACUUCUCCUGCUAAGAGCAGUGGUCCUCCAGGAAUGUCUAAUCAAAAAAGGUACGGGCCACCACAUGAGACUGAUGGACACGGACUAGCUGAAUCUACACAGUCAUCCAAACCUAGUAAUGUAAUGCUGAGGCUCCCGGGUCAGGAGGAUCAUUCGUCUCAAAACCCCUUAAUCAUGCGGAGGCGUGUGCGUUCUUUUAUCUCUCCCAUCCCCAGUAAGAGACAGUCACAAGAUCUAAAGAACACUAGUGCUGAUGAUAAAGGGCGCCUCCUUCACCCAUCAAAAGAAGGCACCGAUAAAGCCUUCAAUUCCUACGCCCACCUUUCUCACAGUCAGGACAUCAAGUCUAUCCCUAAGAGAGAUUCCUCCAAGGACCUCCCAAGCCCAGAUAAUAGAAACUGUCCUGCUGUUACCCUUACAAGCCCUGCUAAGACCAAAAUACUGCCCCCACGGAAAGGACGGGGACUGAAAUUGGAAGCUAUAGUUCAGAAGAUCACGUCCCCAAAUAUUAGGCGGAGUGCAUCUGCAAACAGUGCAGAGGCAGGAGGAGACACGGUCACGCUGGAUGACAUAUUGUCUCUGAAGAGUGGUCCUUCAGAGGGUGGUACUGUGGCUGCUCAAGAAGCUGAGAUGGAGAAGAGAAAAGGUGAGGUAGUGUCCGACCUAGUUGGUCCAACCAACCAGGAGUUAAAUGUUGAAAAGCCUCUUCCGAGGUCUUCAGAAGAGUGGCAUGGCAGUGGGGACGACAAAGUAAAGGCAGAAACACAUCCAGAAACAGUUCCCGCUGGAAAGGAACCCCCUGGUGCCAUGACAGCGGCAACCUCACAGAAGCCUGGCAGUAACCAAGGGAGACCAGAUGGUUCCCUGGGCGGAGCAGCACCUUUACUCUUUCCUGACUCAAAGAAUGUAGCUCCAGUGGGCAUAUUGGCCCCAGAGGCAAACCCCAAGGCAGAAGAGAAAGAGAAUGAGACGGUGACAAUUUCACCCAAACAAGAGAGUUUCCCCCCAAAGGGAUAUUUCCCAUCAGGAAAGAAGAAGGGGAGACCCAUAGGUAGUGUGAAUAAGCAAAAGAAACAGCAGCAGCCACCACCUCCACCACCCCAACCCCCUCAGAUACCAGAAGGUUCUGCAGAUGGAGAGCCAAAGCCAAAAAAGCAGAGGCAAAGGAGGGAGAGAAGGAAGCCUGGAGCCCAGCCAAGGAAGCGGAAAACCAAACAAGCAGUUCCCAUCGUAGAGCCCCAAGAACCUGAGAUCAAGCUCAAAUAUGCCACUCAGCCACUGGAUAAAACAGAUGCUAAGAACAAGUCUUUUUUCCCUUAUAUUCAUGUAGUAAAUAAGUGUGAACUUGGAGCCGUUUGUACAAUCAUCAAUGCUGAAGAAGAAGAACAGACCAAAUUGGUGAGGGGUCGGAAAAGUCAGAGGUCCCUAACCCCUCCCCCCAGCAGCACUGAAAGCAAGGUGCUCCCAGCUUCGUCCUUUAUGCUGCAGGGGCCUGUGGUGACAGAGUCUUCUGUUAUGGGGCACCUGGUUUGCUGUCUGUGUGGCAAGUGGGCCAGUUACCGGAACAUGGGUGACCUCUUUGGACCCUUUUAUCCCCAAGAUUAUGCAGCCACUCUCCCGAAGAAUCCACCUCCCAAGAGGGCCACAGAAAUGCAGAGCAAAGUCAAGGUACGGCACAAAAGUGCUUCCAAUGGCUCCAAAACAGACACUGAGGAGGAGGAGGAGCAGCAGCAGCAGAAGGAGCAGAGGAGCCUGGCUGCACACCCCAGGUUCAAGCGGCGCCACCGCUCAGAAGACUGUGGUGGAGGCCCUCGGUCCCUGUCCAGGGGGCUCCCUUGUAAAAAAGCAGCCACUGAGGGCAGCAGUGAAAAGACUGUUUUGGACACAAAGCCCUCUGUGCCCACCACUUCAGAAGGUGGCCCCGAGCUGGAGUUACAAAUCCCUGAACUACCUCUUGACAGCAACGAAUUUUGGGUCCAUGAGGGUUGUAUUCUCUGGGCCAAUGGAAUCUACCUGGUCUGUGGCAGGCUCUACGGCCUGCAGGAAGCGCUGGAAAUAGCCAGAGAGAUGAAAUGCUCCCACUGCCAGGAGGCCGGCGCCACCCUGGGCUGCUACAACAAAGGCUGCUCCUUCCGAUACCAUUACCCAUGUGCCAUCGACGCAGAUUGUUUGCUACAUGAGGAAAACUUCUCGGUGAGGUGCCCCAAGCACAAGCCUCCCCUUCCGUGCCCUCUCCCCCCCUUGCAGAACAAGACCGCGAAAGGCAGCCUCAGCACAGAGCAGUCGGAGCGGGGGUGAGGGGGGCAGUGUGCGCGUGGGAAUGGAGAGGACAGCAAGCACAGGGAGCAGGGUUGGCAAUGCAGGGAGCAGAGCAGAGCAGGAGAGGUGAUUGGUUCUUGGGUCACAGGAACCAAAUGAGCAAACGGAGCCCUGUGGACUGCAGUUAGACUGUGGAGAUGAACAGGUGGUGGACACUCGUGAUGGAAUGGAAAUCUCCUCCCGUGCUGCCACGCCCUGCCCUGCCCCGCCCCGCCGUGCCUGCCCUGCCAGCACUUCCUUCCCAAGUUCUCACCUCACACUCAAACCAGUGACACCACAGGAAAGAAAGGCCCAAGAUGUUGGAAUGGCUGUUUCCAUGGACACAAUCUCCAUAGUGACAAUGUGGGGGGAGGGGGGA
Ictidomys tridecemlineatus (thirteen-lined ground squirrel) is the source of this 6589-nucleotide non-coding RNA. Lineage: Eukaryota; Metazoa; Chordata; Mammalia; Rodentia; Sciuridae. The record is from RefSeq and is a predicted model, not a curated record.